RNAcentral lists this ribosomal RNA (460 nucleotides) under uncultured bacterium. Its description in RNAcentral is "partial 16S ribosomal RNA". It matches the Rfam family "Bacterial small subunit ribosomal RNA", at positions 338 to 795 of the family's 1533-position model. The record is from RNAcentral.
CCUACGGGUGGCAGCAGUGAGGAAUAUUGGUCAAUGGACGAGAGUCUGAACCAGCCAAGUAGCGUGAAGGAUGACUGCCCUAUGGGUUGUAAACCUCUUUUAUAUGGGAAUAAAAUGUUCCACGUGUGGGAUUUUGUAUGUACCAUAUGAAUAAGGAUCGGCUAACUCCGUGCCAGCAGCCGCGGUAAUACGGAGGAUGCGAGUGUUAUCCGGAUUUAUUGGGUUUAAAGGGUGCGUAGGUGGAUUGUUAAGUCAGUUGUUAAAGUUUGCGGCUCAACCGUAAAAUUGCAGUUGAAACUGGCGAUCUUGAGUGCAGUAGAGGUAGGCGGAAUUCGUGGUGUAGCGGUGAAAUGCUUAGAUAUCACGAAGAACUCCGAUUGCGAAGGCAGUUCACUGGACUGCAACUGACACUGAGGCUCGAAAGUGUGGGUAUCAAACAGGAUUAGAUACCCCAGUAGUC